Long non-coding RNA from Bactrocera oleae (olive fruit fly), 1746 nucleotides. RefSeq lists it as uncharacterized. Lineage: Eukaryota; Metazoa; Arthropoda; Insecta; Diptera; Tephritidae. The record is from RefSeq and is a predicted model, not a curated record.
GGGCUUAUGAGUUGUACGGUGUGUAUGUGUUAGUUUCCGCGUUAAUUCCUUCAAUGUAUUGGAAUGUCCGUAGCUGCGAUUUGUUGUGUUGUUAUCCAAAAUUAGACUUCACAUUUGGUAUUACCAGAUAAUAUCAAUAUGUAGCUUUAUUAAGCGAAAUUUUGCGUUUAUAUCAAAUUUGUUGUUCUACAUCAAGGGCAGGUUGGUCGACAUUGCUUUGUACUGUCACAUGUCUAGAGGGAGCCUUAUGAAUAAAGAAUAUGCGGUAGGUACUUUUUUCGACAUCGAGGGAGUCUUCAAUAAUGUGCGGUCGGAGGCGGUAAUAAAAUUCCUCGAAAAGUUCUGGUAGAAUCGAGACUCAAGCAUCUCAUAUGUAGUUUUCAUUGUAGUAUUGGAUUAGGGUAGCGCACGUGCAUCACGAAAGUACAAUAGGGGCACUUGCUGGUAAAUAACGCACUGAAAGAACUCGAAAAGCGUAACAAAAAUUAAGGGAGGCAUAAAUCUCAGAUGUCCCUCUCUCCUCAUUUGGAGGUACACGUCUUCAAACUGUUGACAAGGCGACGUACCUGGGGCUUAUCCUUGAUAGAAAGCCUUAAUGGAGGCCAAAUAUUUUGGAAACAGUAAGGAAGGUAUAGGUUGCCCUUUACUGCUGUAGUAAACUAUUGGAAACAGGUGGGGCAUUUUACAAAAGUGGUUUCUCUCACCAAAAUUUGAGUUUUAGCUCUACGAAACCGUAGUCAAGUUGUCAAGUCAAAAAUGUUUUAUAAAGUAUUCGUUAUGCUUGAAGGCUUCGACUACUGCGUUGCAGAGUCUUUUCUUGGCGGCUCUCUGCCCACAUACUGACAUGGGAUAUGUGGACGCAGCUUUGUCGCUGAAGAAGAGACACAUAGAGCUUUUUUACGGAUGGGUUGAAGCUCGGUGGAAGGGUUGGAGGGGAAGUUUUCAGGCAAAAAGAGCUGCCAAUAAGGUAACAGUAGACGUAUUGCUCCGAAGUGUUACUUAAUUUAGGAAAAUUAGCACUUAUUCCGACAGCACAAUGACAAUACUACCGUUGAACUCGCUCACAGUGCGCUCAAAUUUAAUUGAGGAAGGGUCUAUUCUAACUACCAAUAGCAUUAAGCUACCUCAUUAUCCGACUACCUAGUUAUGCUGCCGAAACUGAUUUUAGCCUCCUCAACAUAUUUGUGGCAAUUUUUUGAAUUAUGAGGGUAUUUAUGAUCAAUAUAUAGGAUUUUUACGUAACUCAACGGACCGACGUUCAAAGCUGUCCACGUGAGAUGCCUGUUGAUGCCUAUAACUGGAUAGGCCCUUUAACCUAACCUGGCUAAUCAAUAGUUUUUUUUGAAGAAAACAAACUGAUAUUUAAAGGAAAGUAUUCACUUAGAUUUAGCAAAAUCUUUAAUCAAAAGAAUUUAAAAAUUAUUUGCAUAUUUACAUACAUAUGUAUCUUAUUACAGCUAGUAUCUUAUACGUUUUUGAUAUUUUCUGUACAAAUCUCAUUUUAUAUAACGGGUGAUCCAAGUAGAGGUACUUUUUUAAUAGCCUUUUUUUGACAGAUCACGCGUGAGUCGGGUUAAGCUGCCAUGUAUUUUUGUUCAGUAUUGUUUGGCAUUUUAUUAUAAUAAUAAUAAUAACCCAAUGAUUACCAUCCUUCCACCGAACCAACGCAAGUGGCGCAACCCGCAUACGUGCGGAAUUAGCCGAGUCAGAAAAUGCAAGCGAGUUUUUUAAGUGUUGAGAUCUUAA